CUCCUGUGAUGAACUCUGCUUUGUGCCAUCGUGUCUGGGCCACUGAUGUUCUGUGAUGGUAAUGAGGAUCUGAGAGGGG
This is a small nucleolar RNA of Falco tinnunculus (common kestrel), 79 nucleotides long. The record is from Ensembl. NCBI's taxonomy places the organism in Eukaryota, Metazoa, Chordata, Aves, Falconiformes, Falconidae.